This 379-nucleotide unclassified non-coding RNA is filed under the name Hevea brasiliensis (rubber tree). Lineage: Eukaryota; Viridiplantae; Streptophyta; Magnoliopsida; Malpighiales; Euphorbiaceae. The record is from RNAcentral.
GAACAACUAAAAGAAAAAAAAUUGUUAUUGAGCAUAGCUUGACAGAAGGCUACCAUGUACAUGUAUCUCAUACAACCCAUCUAUAAAAUGCGUGUAAAAAGCAAAUGAACAAUGUCAACAAGAAAAUUCACUCAAGCAACAUAAAGGAGGCCAAUUAAAAUCCCAGAACAUAAAAAUUAAUUAAGAAAACAAAUUUUCGAUAGAAUAUCAACUGCAUCAAUGUUGCUGUUUGACACAGACAAGUGGGUAGACAGUGUAUUUUUUGAAACCAAUUAAUUGUAACAACAAAAUGAUAAUAGAGCUCCAAUACCAUGCUUCAUCAUGUCUACAAAGCGAUGGAAUAACUAGCAAAAUAAUAGUCAAAUUGCUAUUUGGUGAU